RNAcentral lists this ribosomal RNA (253 nucleotides) under uncultured bacterium. RNAcentral describes it as "partial 16S ribosomal RNA". It matches the Rfam family "Bacterial small subunit ribosomal RNA", at positions 524 to 776 of the family's 1533-position model. The record is from RNAcentral.
UACGAAGGGGGCUAGCGUUGUUCGGAAUUACUGGGCGCAAAGCGCACGUAGGCGGAUGUGCCAGUCAGGGGUGAAAUCCCGAGGCUCAACCUCGGAACUGCCUCCGAUACAGCACGUCUCGAGUCCGGAAGAGGUGAGUGGAAUUCCUAGUGUAGAGGUGAAAUUCGUAGAUAUUAGGAAGAACACCAGUGGCGAAGGCGGCUAACUGGACCGGUACUGACGCUGAGGUGCGAAAGCGUGGGGAGCAAACAGG